Molecule: ribosomal RNA, 252 nt
Filed under: uncultured bacterium
Lineage: Bacteria
Description: partial 16S ribosomal RNA
Rfam family: Bacterial small subunit ribosomal RNA
Source: RNAcentral
ACGGAGGAUCCAAGCGUUGUCCGGAUUUAUUGGGUUUAAAGGGUGCGUAGGCGGAUUAAUAAGUCAGUGGUGAAAGCUUGCAGCUUAACUGUGAAAGUGCCAUUGAAACUGUUAGUCUUGAGUAUGGUUGAGGUAGAUGGAACGUAUCAUGUAGCGGUGAAAUGCUUAGAUAUGAUACAGAACACCAAUUGCGAAGGCAGUCUACUAAGCCAUUACUGACGCUGAGGCACGAAAGCGUGGGUAGCGAACAGG